Molecule: ribosomal RNA, 468 nt
Filed under: uncultured bacterium
Lineage: Bacteria
Description: partial 16S ribosomal RNA
Rfam family: Bacterial small subunit ribosomal RNA
Source: RNAcentral
GAUGAACGCUGGCGGCGUGCUUAACACAUGCAAGUCGAACGGAAAGGCCCAAGCUUGCUUGGGUACUCGAGUGGCGAACGGGUGAGUAACACGUGGGUGAUCUGCCCUGCACUUCGGGAUAAGCCUGGGAAACUGGGUCUAAUACCGGAUAGGACGAUGGUUUGGAUGCCAUUGUGGAAAGUUUUUUCGGUGUGGGAUGAGCUCGCGGCCUAUCAGCUUGUUGGUGGGGUAAUGGCCUACCAAGGCGUCGACGGGUAGCCGGCCUGAGAGGGUGUACGGCCACAUUGGGACUGAGAUACGGCCCAGACUCCUACGGGAGGCAGCAGUGGGGAAUAUUGCACAAUGGGCGCAAGCCUGAUGCAGCGACGCCGCGUGGGGGAUGACGGCCUUCGGGUUGUAAACUCCUUUCGCUAGGCACGAAGCGUUUUUGUGACGGUACCUGGAGAAGAAGCACCGGCUAACUACGUG